Molecule: long non-coding RNA, 3789 nt
Organism: Rhopilema esculentum
Lineage: Eukaryota; Metazoa; Cnidaria; Scyphozoa; Rhizostomeae; Rhizostomatidae
Source: RefSeq, a predicted model, not a curated record
AUCAUCAUCAUCAUCAAUCAUCAUCAUCAUCAUCGUCAUCAUCAUCAUCAGUUUUGUCCACUUCGCCAAUUCAUAAUAUCGAAGUACCAUUCCUCCACAUUCUUCGUACAUUGCAAAAGCCGUGCUAUUUUUAUUCCUUGAAUGGAAAUCACGCACGGACUGGACAGUUCAGUUCAUCUUGUUCAGUUACUAUUCGAGGAGAUCUACGUAGCCUAUGAUCCAAAAUAAUGAAAAAUCGAGGCUAAUGAAAUAUACGAAGGAUCUGUGCUGGCUGGUACUGCGUUAUGUUAGGAGGGAAUUUAAGUUUGGAAGGAAUAGGCACUUUUAGCUGCUCGAAGAAAUUCUCAAUUCUGAAGUCAAUCAUGCGGACGAAUGUUGUCGAAAUGGAGCCAAAACCUACUCAAUUAAUGUAUCGGUGCUCAUCCGAAAAGUCAUAAAAGUAUGCCCUUUCAGACUGUCGUGUUGAUCAAGUGAUGUGAACAUUGUGUUUGUGACGUCACGAUUAUGCGGAAGGCUCGGGCGAACUCGUCCGUGCUCGGAAAAUGCUCGGUGGCUAACUUUGACGCUCAAUAACUCGAAAACUGUGUUGAAUAUUUAAAAAAUAAUAAUGUAUCAGGUAUUUAUGCUCGAUAUGCCUUCAUUUGAGGUCAAGUUAUUUUUGCGUGUCAGUUCACCUUUAAAUCUAAUAUAAUAUUUACAAUAUACAAAUACAAAAUACAAAUAAAUAUAGAGGUAAGAAAAUUAAUUUUCAGCAAUCUUAUUAAAUGCUAGGAAAGGGAGCAACACAAUCAGCCCUUUGAACAGUGGCUGCUCGUAACUUUCACAGUUGGGAGGGCAGAACAUCAAUAUUGCGAUAAUCGAUAGAAAGGUCGAGUUUGCAAAUUUUUCACUGUAUUCAUGGUUCGAUGUUGAUCGUCAUGGAGCGCAGAAGAAAAAGCAUAUAUAGAUGUGGUUGAUGUUUAGCGAUGAUGUCAUUUUAUGGGCAAAAUUUUUCUUGCCCUGAAUUCCUCCAAAUAAGCCAAUCACAGGCCGCGUUUCGCAAUGCCCGAGGUCGAAAAUUAGCUUGUGCGCAUGUCGGCUAAGGGCAAAAAAAACUUUGCCCGUAAAAUGACAUCAUCGCUCAAGGCACUAGCGGGCCAGAAGCGAGGCUAAGGACGAGACGGGAUAGCAAGGAGCUUUUUCUAGAAGAGAUACAAACUUAUAUAAUUAACCACAGUAAGGCUAUCUUCAAAAUUAAAUAUGAAUAUCAUAGAUUUCCUUUGAAUCUUUUUGAGGGGGCAUUGCCCCAGAUGCCCAUUAGCAAGAGCCGCCACUGCCUUUGAAUAUCUGAAAAACGCUAUAUACCUUGUAAGACUGAGGUCUGUUUUGUAAAAAGAAAAGGUGUCAACAGACACUAUUUUUCUACUUAUCCAUAUCAACAUACCAAUGAACAGUGCUAUUUAGCAGGCAACGAGCUACAGGGUGCAAAGCCCUGAAACCAAAGUCUUGUGUGCAGAAAAAGGAUGUCUCUUUCUCAGUAUUUUUAGACCUGGUUAUAUGCCUGAAUACAAAGGGCCACUCCAGCCCAAAAAUUUUUUCUGACAUUUUUGCAUAAAUUGGUAAUUAGUCGAGAAAAAGAAAACAUCGUGAAAUUUUUUUUUUUGAAAAGCUUAACUCGUUUUCCAGAUAUAGACGCUCAAAGUUGAGAAUCGCCGUAAAAAUACGACAAAAUUUUUUUCGGAAAAAGUACCUUGUGACGUAUGAAGGGACCAUUGUUUCAACAACUGCGAAUUCGAAGUUUAAUUUCCACUGGCAGAAUUUCUUUUGCGAAUUCGCUGCGAAUAAUGCAAAAGAAAAUGGCGUCUGUUCGAAGAUUAUUGUCAUUAAAAAAAGCGAGCAAAAAGCUAAGAAAGGUGUACUUGGUUCGAAAAAUUUAUUCAGAACGUCUACAGAAGGGGGAGCUUCAUCUUUUGGUAAGUGACUUACGCUUACAUUGUCAGGAAUAAAUACUUUCGAAUGUCGCCAACUACAUAUGAGGAGCUUUUAUCGUUUAUUGCACCAAAGACGCCUGUUUCUAGAAGCGUCCCAUUCCAUUGUUUAUGUUAUAGGUGCGGGAUUUUCCCAGCAUUGUUUAGGCUUAGUCAUAGGUUACUCAUUCUUCAACCAUGUUGUUGUUUGAACCAUUGCGUAGUUUUCUGUCGAUUUGCAUAUUUUUUCGUGUGUAUCGUGUAAAUCAGGCUUAAAAGCAGGAAUGGUUUCUACUUUUUCGCUGCGAAUUUUCCAAUCUCCACUUCUGCGCAUAUUUUUCGCGCAUUCGCGGCGAAAAAUUCGCUUCGCACGAAAAAAUUCGUCUCGUGUAAAUCAGGCUUAAGGGGAGGCAAAACAAGUGCACAGACCUCUUUGAGAAGCCGUAGUGACCUACGUAGUGAAUCGUAAACUCCCUAUUACACCGGCCACAUGUGCACUGAACAGAGCCAAAAUAACAAUGAUUUAUUAGCAAACUCAAAACUUUCUUUACCAUAUCUCAACCUAUUUAAGACAUAUUUGACUGAUCUUGCAUAAUUGGAAGUAUUUGUGGUGUUCUUUUAUAAUAUGUGGCUAAAAUUUUAAGAAUAGCUUUUUGUGACGUCACACUUGAACUCUAUAGAGUUUUUAAGUGUGCCGCAAUUAUAAAUUUGUUUUUAAAUUAUCAUGUUAAAUACAUCAAUAUUAAAAAAAUUAAGAGCAUGCAUACAUCUUGACUUCAAGACCAAGCACGACUAGAUCCAUAUCGGAAAACAUGUGUUGCAUGUUUAGUGAAAAUUAUGCAAAGUUUUAUGCUUUUAUCACCAAAAUAAAAAAAUUGGGGCAAUAGCAGCUUUACUACCUCUUCAUAACAACAAAUGGUUGAAAAAAACCACACAAAAAUAGGAACUGUGACAUCUAAUAAAAUUACUCAUUCACCUAUCUUGUCAUAUAUUGGGCUUUUACACAUUUCGUCAUUAACAAAAUUUCUGAUGUAAUCUACUCCACAUUAUAGUACUGCAUUUAUUCUUGAUUUCGUUAUUAAUCUCAAUAUUGUUCGUUUAGUCUUAAUAUUUCCUUUUCCUUAAUACUCGCUAUUUAUUCCCUUUCCUUUUCUUUAAAUAUUUUGCUUCUCUUUACUCUGAGCCCACUUGUUUGUUAUUCUGAGCCCUUUCUUUCUUUAUCCCUUCAUUUUCAAUAAAUUUCACUUGUUAUCUGUCGACAUAACGAGCUCUCGGUUACACAGAAAGUUGCUGAUUUCUAGAAACUAGAGAUGUAGUUGAUAGCAAGUAUAUACAUACACAAAAACUCAGACAAGGCUGUUAAUAAGUUUCACAUGAUAUAAAAUCCUACAGAAAAAGAGAAGCUUCAAAACUAAUUCAAUAUUGAAAAAAUGCAAUGGCGAAACGUCACAAAUGCCUGGAAACAGCCAAAAACUCUUUCCUUUUAAGUUAUUGCAUAUCAUUCAAACAAAUGACAAAGCAUCUUUCUGUGACAGACAUCUUUUUGAAAUCUGACAAAUUCAUCGAUUUAAAAAAAGAAGAUACUGUCAUGAAAUUAUGAGUUAGGGGAUUAUGAAUGAAUUUGCUUUAGCAUAAUCAAAAUCUAAAUUUUACAUAUUUUUGUUCUCAUGGACAAUAAUCUUGUUUUUGCAACAUAUAGUAUGGACUACCAAAAACCUGUUAAGAAAAAAUAGCCAUAACAAAAUGAUUUAAAACUGUUCCGAUCAACUUGGUGCUACCCCAAGCUUCUCUAAAACUCGUAAACCUUUCUCUUGGUAUUCUUGUCUUGUCAUCCAAAAAGAAU